CGGUGGAUGAUGUGGUUAAUUCGAUGCAACGCGAAAACCUUACCACCUUGACAUGUACGGAAUCCUUUAGAGAUAGAGGAGUGCUCGAAAGAGAGCCGUAACACAGGUGCUGCAUGGCUGUCGUCAGCUCGUGUCGUGAGAUGUUGGGUUAAGUCCCGCAACGAGCGCAACCCUUGUCAUUAGUUGCUACAUUCAGUUGGGCACUCUAAUGAGACUGCCGGUGACAAACCGGAGGAAGGUGGGGAUGACGUCAAGUCCUCAUGGCCCUUAUAGGUGGGGCUACACACGUCAUACAAUGGAUGGUACAAAGGGUCGCCAACCCGCGAGGGGGAGCCAAUCCCAUAAAGCCAUUCGUAGUCCGGAUCGCAGUCUGCAACUCGACUGCGUGAAGUCGGAAUCGCUAGUAAUCGUGGAUCAGAAUGUCACGGUGAAUACGUUCCCGGGUCUU
RNAcentral lists this ribosomal RNA (448 nucleotides) under uncultured Acidovorax sp. RNAcentral's name for it is "bacterial SSU rRNA". It matches the Rfam family "Bacterial small subunit ribosomal RNA", at positions 930 to 1382 of the family's 1533-position model. The record is from RNAcentral. Lineage: Bacteria; Pseudomonadati; Pseudomonadota; Betaproteobacteria; Burkholderiales; Comamonadaceae.